GAUGAACGCUGGCGGCGUGCCUAAUACAUGCAAGUCGAGCGAACAGACGAGGAGCUUGCUCCUCUGACGUUAGCGGCGGACGGGUGAGUAACACGUGGAUAACCUACCUAUAAGACUGGGAUAACUUCGGGAAACCGGAGCUAAUACCGGAUAAUCUAUUGAACCGCAUGGUUCAAUAGUGAAAGACGGCUUUGCUGUCACUUAUAGAUGGAUCCGCGCCGCAUUAGCUAGUUGGUAAGGUAACGGCUUACCAAGGCAACGAUGCGUAGCCGACCUGAGAGAGUGGUCGGCCACACUGGAACGUGGACACGGUCCAGACUCCUACGGGAGGCAGCAGUAGGGAAUCUUCCGCAAUGGGCGAAAGCUUGGCGGAGCAACGCCGCGUGAGUGAUGAAGGUCUUCGGAUCGUAAAACUCUGUUAUUAGUGAAGAACAAAUGUGUAAGUAACUAUGCACGGCUUGACGGUACCUAAUCAGAAAGCCACGGCUAACUACGUG
This 497-nucleotide ribosomal RNA is filed under the name uncultured bacterium. Its description in RNAcentral is "partial 16S ribosomal RNA". It matches the Rfam family "Bacterial small subunit ribosomal RNA", at positions 28 to 507 of the family's 1533-position model. The record is from RNAcentral.